GAUGAACGCUGACAGAAUGCUUAACACAUGCAAGUCUUUGGCGAAGCUGUGCUUGCACAGCCUAGCCAAGGCGGACGGGUGAGUAACGCGUAAGGAACUUGCCCUGCAGUCAGGGAUAACAGACGGAAACGACUGAUAAGACCUGGUAAAGUCAGGCGGACUCAUGUCCAGCCUGAUGAAAAGAGAUGCUGCAGGAGAGCCUUGCGUCCUAUUAGCUUGUUGGUGGGGUAACGGCCCACCACGGCGAUGAUAGGUAGCCGGCCUGAGAGGGUGGACGGCCACAAGGGGACUGAGAUACGGCCCUUACUCCUGCGGGAGGCAGCAGUGGGGAAUAGUGGAAAAGGGGGGCAACCCUGAUCCAGCAAUUCUGUGUGCAAGAUGAAGGUUUUCGGAUUGUAAAGUGCUUUCAGGGGGGAAGAAAAAAAUGACGGUACCUGCAGAAGAAGCGACGGCUAAAUACGUG
This 463-nucleotide ribosomal RNA is filed under the name uncultured bacterium. RNAcentral's name for it is "partial 16S ribosomal RNA". It matches the Rfam family "Bacterial small subunit ribosomal RNA", at positions 28 to 507 of the family's 1533-position model. The record is from RNAcentral.